AGCGCUGAGGCAGGACAGGCUGUAGCUGACCCUCUGUGGGAGCUGGGGACGUGGGGGGGCGUGGACGAUGAGGACGACAGCGACAGAGUAAUGUCAGGAGCAUCUGGAAGGCAGAGCUCACAGUCGGCUGCUCGUGACUCAGAAGAUAGCCAGCAGAUGAGGAUCCCGGAAGACGGGGUGCCAUCGCCCCUCUUCUCAAGCAGCCCCCAGAGAGGUUGAACCCAGAAGGUACUCCACCAGUCCCACAGGACAGAGUCUCCUCCUGGCACCAGCAUCCAUUCCGCUCCACACUAUGUAGACUGUACCUCGGUUUGUUUAAAGUCAGCUGUCAGGGCUGGAGAGAACACAGCUGCAGGAGACCCAGGUUCAACUCCCAGGACCCACAUGGCAUCUCAGAACCAUCUUUAACUCCCGUUCCAGGGGAUCCUGCACAUACGUGGUGCAUAGACAGGCGUGCCGGCAAAACAUUCAUACGCAGGACUAUGGAAAGUGAAGUGAGCCAAAGCUGCAUGCAGAACCUGGAAGUCACCGAAUUCGGCUGUGGUGUCUGUGCCAGAUGGGAGACACCCAACAGGCCAUGUUCAGAGUCAGAGCUGAAACAGGGAUGGAGAAGAGGCCUCCCAUCCGCUGUGCAAUCUCUGUCUCUCUAAGCCACACCCUGGGCCCACAGCUUACUUCCUAAGGCUGACUCCUUAAGGCCAACAUGCGCUUCUUAAAGCAACAGUGCCUGUAUUACAGCUGAUGAGGGAGACACACCUUUGCUUGCCUGUUACCCUCUCCCCGCAUCUCCAGCUCCAAGGUCUCUCUGUGUAGCCUUGGCUGUCCUGGAACUCACUCCCGAUGCUGACUCGCCUGACGCUGAGCACACAUAAAUCUUGCCUCUGCUUCCCUUGUUCCUUUCUUUAAGGAGAAAACUGUGUCUCUUGGCUCUCCCCAGGCCUGAGGCUGCAGAGUGCGGACAGGAGGGAAACAGGAGCAGAACAGAGAAGACAGGGUGCAGGUGCCGGCUUGGGGGUGUGGGGUACAGAGGAGAGUUACUGGAGAACCGGGGGUCGCGGUCUGGAUGAGGGUUCAUGUGACCACCCUACUGAGAGGGCCCGAGGAAGGAGAGCUCUCUGCUCUGUUCUUGGGGUCACUUGUCCACCUUAAAAAAAGGUCAACGUGAUGAAGAAAGCCACAUCGGCAGGGACCUGGGUGGCCAAGACAGGUCACAGACACGGUGACAUACAGAAAGAGAAACGCAGUCUCUCCUUGCUUCUGAAUCGCUCGGCCCUGUUCUUGUGACUGCCCCCCCCCCCCACCUCAUGUAUCCUUGAUGAACAGGAAGUGGUGUCCUUGCCUCUUUCCUGGUACCUGUCAGACACACUGAGCCCCGGCCCCUGCAGGAUCAUGGCUUGCUGUGCACCCCCCCACCCCCAAGCCCCUGGCUAACUCCGGACUCCUGUGGCCCUCCCCUAAGAUCAUCUCAGAGGGAUCUUUGUCGUCCCCAUAAGCUCUUCACCGCCUGCCCUGCUAGAGUUUCUCUGUUCACAUGCUUUGCCCAUCCAAUGACUGUAUGCGCGCAGACCUUGUCUGUCCGUCCUCAUACUCUUCUGGCAUUUUCCAUAGCGGUUUCUCGGUGCUGAGGGGAAGGCCUGGCUAAGCUGAGGCUCGAAACAUCGUAGUGGAUAAAGAAUGAAUGGACGGACGAAUGAGUGAAAGCAGAUAAGAGACUCGAAAGCGUCCGGUUGCUAGCAGCUGGGUUAUCAGGCCAGGCACCCUCCAUGAGCACCAUUGGCACUGGGCUUCCUUGGCACAAUGUGAUGUCAGAGUCAGCUGGUCACCUGCCCUGGCUUGGUUAAGGACCAAGGAUGAUCGUAGCAAACUGUCCCACAGUGUGCUAGGUCAUCCUCCAAACAUCCUGAGUGAGCCAACUAGUGAAUGACCUGGGUGUGGCAGACUCUGGAGCCUUCCGGAAGACCAGGCCUUAAGCAAACGAUGGCUGCGGGGAUGCCAGGCGCACAGCCCUGCUCUGCUGAGUGUCCCGAGUGCUUUCCCACGUGGUUACGGGGUAGGUCAGGGGAGUGUCUCAGUCACGUGUCUGCCUGCUGUAGAAGGCAGCUGGCUCGGAAGACAGCAUGUUGUGGUGCUUUUGUUUAUAACGAAAGAGCCCAGCAGUGGCUGGGGCAGAUGUGGGCUUGGCUCUGGGCAAUCCCUUCUCACCUGGGCAUGACGAUAUCCCACAGAUCCCCGGGCAAAGACUGGCACCGUAAGUGGCUUACAGAUAUCCCACACCAAGGACUCAGAGCCUUGACUGCUGUGAGGCACCUCGGGCUGGAGAUGCCACCUCUGCUGAUACAGGCUGGCAUGGCACAGACCUCAGUCAGGGCCAGCUGCUGGCCUGGAGAGGGUGUGAGCACGGAGAGGGUGUGAGCACGCCAUUGUCUCCCUACUCAUGUCUCUCCGCCUUUCUCCAUCUCGUGUCUGUCUCUUUGAGUUUCUUUCUGUGUCUGCCCCUCAUCCCCAUGUCUCUCUCUUGUCUCUCAUUCCUCUCUG
Molecule: long non-coding RNA, 2535 nt
Organism: Mesocricetus auratus (golden hamster)
Lineage: Eukaryota; Metazoa; Chordata; Mammalia; Rodentia; Cricetidae
Exons: 5
Source: RefSeq, a predicted model, not a curated record